AAUCAACGCUGGCGGCGUGCCUCAGACAUGCAAGUCGAACGAUUAAAGCUCUCUUCGGAGAGUGCAUAGAGUGGCGCACGGGUGAGUAACACGUAAGUAAUCUACCUUCGAGUGGGGAAUAACGUCCGGAAACGGGCGCUAAUACCGCAUAAUGCAGCGGCAUCGCAAGAUGACAGUUGUUAAAGGAGCAAUCCGCUUGAAGAGGAGCUUGCGGCAGAUUAGCUAGUUGGUAGGGUAAUGGCCUACCAAGGCUACGAUCUGUAACCGGUCUUAGAGGACGGUCGGUCACACUGACACUGAAUAACGGGUCAGACUCCUACGGGAGGCAGCAGUCGGGAAUUUUGGGCAAUGGGGGAAACCCUGACCCAGCAACGCCGCGUGAAGGAUGAAGUAUUUCGGUAUGUAAACUUCGAAAGAAUAGGAAGAAUUAAUGACGGUACUAUUUAUAAGGCCCGGCUAACUACGUGCCAGCAGCCGCGGUAAAGUCGAUAACG
RNAcentral lists this ribosomal RNA (494 nucleotides) under uncultured bacterium. RNAcentral describes it as "bacterial SSU rRNA". It matches the Rfam family "Bacterial small subunit ribosomal RNA", at positions 32 to 532 of the family's 1533-position model. The record is from RNAcentral.